RNAcentral lists this ribosomal RNA (627 nucleotides) under uncultured bacterium. RNAcentral's name for it is "bacterial SSU rRNA". It matches the Rfam family "Bacterial small subunit ribosomal RNA", at positions 224 to 868 of the family's 1533-position model. The record is from RNAcentral.
GAUCAGCUUGUACAGUAUCAGUUAGUUGGUGGGGUAAUGGCUUACCAAGACUAUGACGCUUAACUGGUUUGAGAGGAUGAUCAGUCACACUGGAACUGAGACACGGUCCAGACUCCUACGGGAGGCAGCAGUGGGGAAUAUUGCACAAUGGACGAAAGUCUGAUGCAGCAACGCCGCGUGGAGGAUGACACAUUUCGGUGCGUAAACUCCUUUUAUAUGAGAAGAUAAUGACGGUAUCAUAUGAAUAAGCACCGGCUAACUCCGUGCCAGCAGCCGCGGUAAUACGGGGGGUGCAAGCGUUACUCGGAAUCACUGGGCGUAAAGAGCAUGUAGGCGGAUUGAUAAGUUUGAAGUGAAAUCCUAUAGCUUAACUAUAGAACUGCUUUGAAAACUGUUAAUCUAGAAUGUGGGAGAGGUAGAUGGAAUUUCUGGUGUAGGGGUAAAAUCCGUAGAGAUCAGAAGGAAUACCGAUUGCGAAGGCGAUCUACUGGAACACUAUUGACGCUGAGAUGCGAAAGCGUGGGGAGCAAACGGGAUUAGAUACCCCGGUAGUCCACGCCCUAAACGAUGCACACUAGUUGUUGUGAGGCUAGACCUUGCAGUAAUGCAGUUAACACAUUAAGUGUG